CGCUUAUCAAGAAAGGUGGAGGGUUAUGGCCCGAUGAUACCUUAGCAACCUCUUCCGAAGCAAUUCGGAAAACUGGUGCUAAUUCCAUCCUGCAGCAAUGCAGGGCAGAUAAGUC
Molecule: non-coding RNA, 115 nt
Filed under: Chitinophagaceae bacterium
Lineage: Bacteria; Pseudomonadati; Bacteroidota; Chitinophagia; Chitinophagales; Chitinophagaceae
Also listed under: 1 other name
Description: SAM-I sequence
Rfam family: SAM riboswitch aptamer (S box leader)
About the family: The SAM riboswitch is found upstream of a number of genes which code for proteins involved in methionine or cysteine biosynthesis in Gram-positive bacteria.
Source: RNAcentral